GGGGAUAACUACUGGAAACGGUAGCUAAUACCGCAUGACGUCGCAAGACCAAUGGGGGACUUUCGGGCCUCACGCCAUCGGAUGUGCCCAGAUGGGAUUAGCUAGUAGGUGGUAAUGGCUCACCUAGGCGACGAUCCCUAGCUGGUCUGAGAGGAUGACCAGCCACACGAACUGAGACACGGUCCAGACUCCUACGGGAGGCAGCAGUGGGGAAUAUUGCACAAUGCGCAGGCCUGAACCAGCCAUGCCGCGUGGAGGACGAAGGCCCUCCGGGUCGUAAACUCUUUACCCGGGACGAAAAAAGCCCUUUUGAGGGCACUUGACGGUACCGGGGGAAUAAGCCGGCUAACUCCGUGCCAGCAGCCGCGGUAAUACGGAGGGUGCGAGCGUUAUCCGGAUUCUGGGUUUAAAGGGUGCGCAGGCGGGCUUUUAAGUCAGCGGUGAAACCCGCGGGCUCACCGCGGACUGCCGAUGAUACUAGGGGCCUUGGAUGUCGCUGAGGGCAGCGGAAUGGGGUGUAGCGGUGAAAUGCAUAGAUAUGCCCCGGAACACCGAUUGCGGAGGCAGCUGCCUAGGACGAUCGACGCUGAGGCACGAAAGCGUGGGUAGCGAGCAGGAUUAGAUACCCUGGUCCCACGCCCUAAACGAUGAUUACUCGACGUCCGCGGCAUACUGUGGGCGUCCAAGCGA
RNAcentral lists this ribosomal RNA (690 nucleotides) under uncultured bacterium. Its description in RNAcentral is "bacterial SSU rRNA". It matches the Rfam family "Bacterial small subunit ribosomal RNA", at positions 139 to 854 of the family's 1533-position model. The record is from RNAcentral.